AGUGAACGCUGGCGGUGGGCCUAACACAUGCAAGUCGAACGGCAGCACAGUAAGAGCUUGCUCUUACGGGUGGCGAGUGGCGGACGGGUGAGGAAUACAUCGGAAUCUACUUUUUCGUGGGGGAUAACGUAGGGAAACUUACGCUAAUACCGCAUACGACCUACGGGUGAAAGCAGGGGAUCUUCGGACCUUGCGCGAUUGAAUGAGCCGAUGUCGGAUUAGCUAGUUGGCGGGGCAAAGGCCCACCAAGGCGACGAUCCGUAGCUGGUCUGAGAGGAUGAUCAGCCACACUGGAACUGAGACACGGUCCAGACUCCUACGGGAGGCAGCAGUGGGGAAUAUUGGACAAUGGGCGCAAGCCUGAUCCAGCCAUACCGCGUGGGUGAAGAAGGCCUUCGGGUUGUAAAGCCCUUUUGUUGGGAAAGAAAAGCAGCAGGUUAAUACCCCGCUGUUCUGACGGUACCCAAAGAAUAAGCACCGGCUAACUUCGUG
RNAcentral lists this ribosomal RNA (492 nucleotides) under uncultured bacterium. Its description in RNAcentral is "partial 16S ribosomal RNA". It matches the Rfam family "Bacterial small subunit ribosomal RNA", at positions 29 to 507 of the family's 1533-position model. The record is from RNAcentral.